RNAcentral lists this transfer RNA (72 nucleotides) under Beta vulgaris subsp. vulgaris (sugar beet). It matches the Rfam family "tRNA". Rfam says of the family: Transfer RNA (tRNA) molecules are approximately 80 nucleotides in length. Lineage: Eukaryota; Viridiplantae; Streptophyta; Magnoliopsida; Caryophyllales; Amaranthaceae. The record is from Rfam by way of RNAcentral.
GGGCGUGUAGCUCAGCUGGGAGAGCAUCUGAUUUGCAUUCAGAAGGUCGCAGGUUCGAUCCCUGUUCCUCCA